AGUGAACGCUGGCGGUAGGCCUAACACAUGCAAGUCGAACGGCAGCACAGGAGAGCUUGCUCUCUGGGUGGCGAGUGGCGGACGGGUGAGGAAUACAUCGGAAUCUACCUUUUCGUGGGGGAUAACGUAGGGAAACUUACGCUAAUACCGCAUACGACCUACGGGUGAAAGUGGGGGACCGCAAGGCCUCACGCGAUUAGAUGCGCCGAUGUCCGCUUAGCUAGUUGGCGGGGUAAUGGCCCACCAAGGCGACGAUCGGUAGCUGGUCUGAGAGGAUGAUCAGCCACACUGGAACUGAGACACGGUCCAGACUCCGACGGGAGGCAGCAGUGGGGAAUAUUGGACAAUGGGCGCAAGCCUGAUCCAGCCAUACCGCGUGGGUGAAGAAGGCCUUCGGGUUGUAAAGCCCUUUUGUUGGGAAAGAAAUCCUGUCGAUUAAUACUCGGUGGGGAUGACGGUACCCAAAGAAUAAGCACCGGCUAACUUCGUG
Molecule: ribosomal RNA, 490 nt
Filed under: uncultured bacterium
Lineage: Bacteria
Description: partial 16S ribosomal RNA
Rfam family: Bacterial small subunit ribosomal RNA
Source: RNAcentral